Non-coding RNA from Pelobates cultripes (western spadefoot toad), 974 nucleotides. Lineage: Eukaryota; Metazoa; Chordata; Amphibia; Anura; Pelobatidae. The record is from the annotation of a GenBank genome assembly.
GGUUCUGAUAGCAGUGAGCCCCUCUGGUGGAGGUCCUAAUAGCAGUGUGCCCCUCUGGUGGAGGUCCUGAUAUCAGUGUGCCCCUCUGGGUUAGGUCCUGAUAGCAGUGAGCCCCUCUGGUUUAGGUCCUGAUGGCAGUGUGCCCCUCUGGUUUAGGUCCUGAUGGCAGUGUGCCCCUCUGGAGGAGGUCCUGAGUGCAGUGUGCCCCUCUGGUGGAGGUCCUGAUAGCAGUGAGCCCUUCUGGUGGAGGUCCUGAUAAAAGUGUGCCCCUCUGGUGGAGGUCCUGAGAGCAGUGUGCCCCUCUGGUGGAGAUAUGAGGGUCCUGAUAGCAGUGUGCCCCUCUGGUGGAGAUAUGAGGGUCCUGAUAGCAGUGUGUCCUCUGGUGGAGAUAUGAGGGUCCUGAUAGCAGUGUGCCCCUCUCGUGGAGAUAUGAGGGUCCUGAUAGCAGUGUGCCCCUCUGGUGGAGAUAUGAGGGUCCUGAUAGCAGUGUGCCCCUCUGGUGGAGAUAUGAGGGUCCUGAUAGGAGUGUGCCCCUCUCGUGGAGAUAUGAGGGUCCUGAUAGCAGUGUGCCCCUCUGGUGGAGAUAUGAGGGUCCUGAUAGGAGUGUGCCCCUCUCGUGGAGAUAUGAGGGUCCUGAUAGCAGUGUGCCCCUCUGGUGGAGAUAUGAGGGUCCUGAUAGCAGUGUGCCCCUCUGGUGCCCCGGGGUAUGAGGGUCCUGAUAGCAGUGUUCCCCUCUGGUGGAGGUCCUGAGAGCAGUGUGCCCCUCUGGUGCCCCGGGGUAUGAGGGUCUCUGUCACUCUCCGCUGUUGCUGAAUGUUGAGUCCCGGGAAGUGCUGGAUCCGAUGCUCCUUGUCAUCCCACGUGUUGCGAGACCGAGCCCCAAACUUGCUGCCGCCCCCAGCCCACUCCCCAGUCCCAGCCGGGGGGAGACCGAGCGAUCGCUGCGAGGAAUGGAGCUCCGAGCUCAGCCUGCG